RNAcentral lists this ribosomal RNA (476 nucleotides) under uncultured bacterium. RNAcentral's name for it is "SSU rRNA". It matches the Rfam family "Bacterial small subunit ribosomal RNA", at positions 26 to 518 of the family's 1533-position model. The record is from RNAcentral.
AGGAUAAACGCUGGCGGCGUGCCUAACACAUGCAAGUCGAACGCGCUUUCGGGCUUCGGUGCGAGAGCGAGUGGCGGACGGGUGAGUAACACAUGGGUACCUACCUUGGAGUGAGGGAUACCGGCGAGAAAUCGCCGACAAUACCGCAUAAGCUUCUUCACAAGGGAAGCAAAGUGACGCGAGUCACGCUUUGAGAUGGGCCUGUGGCCGAUUAGCUAGUUGGGGGGGUAACGGCUUCCCAAGGCGACGAUCGGUAGCUGGUCUGAGAGGACGAUCAGCCACACUGGGAUUGAGAACGGCCCAGACUCCUACGGGGGGCAGCAGUGAGGAAUUUUCCGCAAUGGAGGCAACUCUGACGGAGCAACGCCGCGUGCAGGAGGAAGGUUUUCGGAUCGUAAACUGCUUUUCUCGGGGAAGAGGAACGGACGGGUACCCGAGGAACUCGAGCCCCGGCUAACUACGCGCCAGCAGCCGGC